UCGGGGCGUGGCGCAGAUCGGAUAGCGCACUAGCUUGGGGUGCUAGGGGUCGCUGGUUCAAAUCCAGUCGCCCCGAU
RNAcentral lists this transfer RNA (77 nucleotides) under subsurface metagenome. Its description in RNAcentral is "tRNA-Pro". It matches the Rfam family "tRNA". From Rfam's summary of the family: Transfer RNA (tRNA) molecules are approximately 80 nucleotides in length. Their secondary structure includes four short double-helical elements and three loops (D, anti-codon, and T loops). The record is from RNAcentral.